GUUGAACGCUGGCGGCAUGCCUAACACAUGCAAGUCGAGCGGAUAGAGGAAGCUUUCGCCUGUAUGCAGCUGCGGGCGGGUGGGUGAUUCCUAGGAGUAUGCCUUGUAUUUGAGAAUAACGUCCGUAAAGGGGAGCUGAGACAACAUCCGACCUGAUGGUGAAAGUGAUGGAUCUACGGACCUCGCGCGAUCAGAUGAGCCUAGUUCGGAUUAGCUAGUUGGUGAGGUAAGGGCCUACCAAGGCGACGAUCCGUAGCUAGUCUGAGAGGAUGAUCAGUCACACUGGAACUGAGACACGGUCCAGACUCCUACGGGAGGCAGCAGUGGGGAAUCUUGCACAAUGGGCGAAAGCCUGACCGAGCAACGCCGCGUGUGUGAAGAAGGUCUUCGGAUCGUAAAGCUCUGUAAGUUGGGAGGAAGGGAAGUAAGUUAAUCUCUUCCUGUCUUGACGUUACCAACAGAAUAAGCCACGGCUAACUUCGUG
Molecule: ribosomal RNA, 484 nt
Filed under: uncultured bacterium
Lineage: Bacteria
Description: partial 16S ribosomal RNA
Rfam family: Bacterial small subunit ribosomal RNA
Source: RNAcentral